This 253-nucleotide ribosomal RNA is filed under the name uncultured bacterium. RNAcentral describes it as "partial 16S ribosomal RNA". It matches the Rfam family "Bacterial small subunit ribosomal RNA", at positions 524 to 776 of the family's 1533-position model. The record is from RNAcentral.
UACGAAGGGAGCUAGCGUUGUUCGGAAUCACUGGGCGUAAAGCGCACGUAGGCGGAUUUGUCGGUCAGGGGUGAAAUCCCGGGGCUCAACCUCGGAACUGCCUUUGAUACAGCAAGUCUUGAGUUCGAGAGAGGUGGGUGGAAUUCCUAGUGUAGAGGUGAAAUUCGUAGAUAUUAGGAAGAACACCGGUGGCGAAGGCGGCCCACUGGCUCGAUACUGACGCUGAGGUGCGAAAGCGUGGGGAGCAAACAGG